AAUUUUAUUUAUUCAGAUGUUUGUUACAUCAAAAUAUCCAGGUAACUCCCUCCCUCUCCUUCCUUUUAUUCUUAUUAUAGAAGGCACCAUUUGACAAAAAUAUAUAUUGAAAUUUUGGGGUACACUGAGGUGUAUGGGAUACCUCAGUUUCUCUCAGUAAAUUAAGGCUGAUAGGCCUUAUCUACUGUGUCCAGUACACAAACCAGGCCUCCAAGCAGUUGUUGGUAUAAAAGGUAAAUGAUUUAUUAAUAAAACAAAAGGAUAGCAAGGGAGGAUUAAGGAAUGAGAUUUCCCUAACCACUAUGAUUUCUCACUUCCCUCUCCCUCUAAGUUCCCCACAUGAGGAAGUCUGUUUUUCUUGAAGCUCCCUAAGUCCUUCCUUUCUCUGGCUAAUUUCCCAAGCCCUCUACACCUACCUGACUACCUGACUAUAAAAUCCUCCCUGUUUGGUUUCUCAAGAGAUAAGUUAUCCAAGAUGAAACAGGGAUGACUCUAGAUGUUUGAGGUUGACCUUAGGCCUCAACCAUCAAUUGCCCCUUGACAAUGUGAAUUUUAAAAGUCUCCAUCUUGGUCUAGCACCCAAAAAUUGUGCACACCCACACUACACGGGCAUGUGAUAGUCAAUGACAAAUCAAAAAUAACUAACUGCCCACCUGGGCUGCCUAAGCCAAGCUAGAGCCACCAUUGGCACUUGGUGAGGUACAGGAAGUGAGGUAGGGAACAGCCUCUGGAAUUCGCUGACUUCCUGUGGAGAGAGCUAGAUGCGAGUUCCUGUCAGGAGCUUGGACAGGGAGGAGGCCUGCAGACAGCUUCCCUUCAGAUUGGUCAUGGAGAAGAAAAUCAUACUGAGAAGAUACCAUAUAAUAAGUCUUGGUCUACAUGAAAGUUAUGACUUAAAAAAAGAAUUAAACAUUACACUUCAAUAAAUUAUUUUUAAGAACUGGCCUGAAGUUUUGGAACUAAAAGAUAAAGUAGAAUUUGAAAGAAUUCAUCGAUCACCACCUGUAAGAGAUCCCAGCAGGAAAACUCAAAGGAAUGGUAAUACAAAGUUUUGUCACUAUCAGUUUAAGGAGAAUAUUCUACCAAAAACCCCUAGAAACAGUGUAAAUAUUGUGUAACUAUAAUCAGUAUAACACAAGAUUUAGAACAUUCUACAUUAAAAUAAUGAAGAGUGUAGAAUAUAAUAUUUUAGAGAGCAAAGGUGCUGUGUCCACAACCAAGAAUAACCAACCCAGAAAAGCUGAGU
Molecule: long non-coding RNA, 1246 nt
Filed under: Monodelphis domestica (gray short-tailed opossum)
Lineage: Eukaryota; Metazoa; Chordata; Mammalia; Didelphimorphia; Didelphidae
Description: lncRNA (ENSMODG00000038739.1)
Source: RNAcentral